CCCAGUUCUACCAUUUUUAACUUUUAAAAAUAAAGUGUCUGAAAUAUUUAAUUACAUUUCUUUUUUUUUGAAGCUUCCUUAUGUCUUCAAGGUAACUUGAAGAUCUUGCCUUUGAAAUUUCUUUUUGUGACAAAUAUUUCUACCAAAUCAGACUUUCCCAGCUCAAAUUUAGAUUAUUCAUAUCUACAUUUUGUCCAAAUACUUUGUUCUUCAAUUUUUAGUUUGUAUUUUUUUUUAUUUUAUUAAUUGAAAAUAUUUUUUUCUAAGUUUUCUUGGGCCAAUAUUUGAAGUCUUUAAUGACAUAGAAGAGGUGUUACAAAGCCAGCCACAGUGGUGCACACCUGUAAUUCCAGCAGCUUGGAGGCUGAGGCAAAAGGAUCAUAAAUUCAAAGCCACCCUCAGCAAUUUAGCAAGGCCCUAAGCAACUCAGUGAGAACCUGUCUCUAAUAAGACACAAAAAGGGCUGGGGAUGUGGCUCAGUGGUUAAGUGUCCCCUGGGUUCAAUCUCUGGUACCACCAAAAAAAAAAAAAAAAAACAUUAUGGCUAGGGAUGUAGCUCAGUGGUAGAAUGCUUACCUAGCAUGGUGAGGCCCUGGGUUCAAAUCCUUGGCACUACAAAAAAUGAACAAAUAGAAAGAGCAAAAGAGAUAUAGCACUGAGCUACAUCCUUAGCUCUUUUUAUUUUUUUAUUUUAAGAUGGAGUCUUGGCCUCUCAAGUAGCUGGGAUUAAAGGUAUGUAUUCGUGACACAAUGUUUGUGUUUAAUUUGAUAAAAGAUUAAGACUCUGCAUCUCUUUCUUGGAAAUACAUGAAAAGAUAAUGAGCAAUUCCAUUUUUGGUCAUCCAGAAUGUUUUAACUGUACUAGACAGCCUAGUAUACUACUAAUCUAAUUUUUCCACAUACUUAAGUAGUUUCUAUAUGAUGUAGUAGCUAUCUACACUGUGGCUAAUGCAAAGAACAAAUAUUGGUAUAUAAAGUAUUCUGAAUGGUCAAAUUGAUAUAAUACCCUACUUCAGUAACAGAUUUUAAAGUUAAAAAAUCAAAUGCCUUUUGUACUUUAGAAACUACUAAUUAGUUUAGUUGUAUUAAAAUGUACAGAGAGGAGGGGCUGGGGAUGUGGCUCAGUAUAAAGUACUUGGCAUGCAUGAGGCCCUGGAUUAGAUUCCCAGCACUGAAAAGAAAUUUAAUGCAACAUCAUAAUAAAAGAGCUUAUUUUUAAUCCCAGCUACUUGAGAGGCCAAGACUCCAUCUCAUCUUCAUAAAAGAGCUUUAAAGUUCCCUUACGUAUCUCUUAAGCUAGAGAAAAAUGUCAGGACUGAUGUUGGCAAAUAAAAUGAAAGCAAUUUAGUACAAUAACUUAUUUAAAUAGGUCUGCAAAUUAUUCAGUCAUUUGAAGAAUAAUAUGUCAAUUGGCAUAAAAUUAUACUAGUUUUCAAAACAUACAAGAAUUACUAUAAUCAAAAAGAAUAAGGAGUAGUGUGCUCCUGUAAUCCCAUUGGCUUGCGAGGCUGAGGCAGGAGGAUGGCAAGUUUGAGGCCAGCCUGGCAACUUAGUGAGAUCCUGUUUCAAAAUGUUUUUAAAAGGGCUGGGAUUACAACUUAGUGGUAAAGCACCCCUGGGUUCAAUUCACAGUACUAAAAAAAAAAAAAAAAAGAAGGAAUAUUCUUAUUCCUGGGUUCAAGGUGUUUAGUCUUUAGUGGAUGUUUAGAAUUUUGGCUUUUAGGGAAUUUUUAGUUGGAAUUAUUCUCUUUCAGCACAUUCCACAAUCUUUCUACUGUUUUCUGGCUUCUACAGUUUUUAUUCAUAUAAGGUAUCAGCUUUACUGUUGAUCCUUCAGAAGUAAUGUUACUCUUUCCAAUUACUUGUUUUUAUGCUCAUUAUUUUUCAUAAUUUAAUUGAAGUUUCUAUAUAUAUGUUGAACUAGAAAUAAUCCAAUUAUAUAGGGAAUUCAUGUACCCAUCUCAUACCUUUAAAGAUUGUCAACAUUAUUCCUGUCUUAUCCUUUUUAUCUGUAAAUACCACAUACUAUCUCAUUUUACCACAAGUAUUUUUGUAUGUAUAUUUAACUGGUAAGAAAUUCUUUUAAAAAUAACUAAAUAUCACUCUCAUGUCCAUAUGCAGAUUUCCCUAUUGUCUGUUUAAAAAUUGUCUUUUCAUAGUUAUUUAUUUUGAAUCUGUCUUCAAUAAAGGUUUAUAUUUUACAUAAGAUGAAUGUGUCUAUUGUUGUUGUUCUACUGGUGAUCAAGCCCAGGGCCUCAUACAUAUUUGGGAAGUUCUGUACCACUGAACUACUUCUCCAGCCCACCCUUUUUAUUUUUCAUAAAAAAACAUCCAGUCAGGUGUGGUGGCAUGCUCUCAUCAUCUUAGUGAUCCAGAAGGAUUGCAAGUUCAAGUCCAACCUGGGCAACUUAGUGAGAUGGCUGCCUCAAGAAUGGCUGGGGAUAUAGUUUAGUGGUAGACUAUCCCUGGGUUCAAUCCCCAGUACAGCAAAACAAAAAGUUUGAUUCAUGUUGUAUAAUAUAUCAGUAAUUUAUUCCUUAUUAAUGACCAAAUAAUAUUCCUUUAUUUUGUUUCUCCCUUCAUCAGUUGGUGAAUAUUUGGGUUGUUUUUUGCACUAUUAUGAAAAAUGUUGCUAUUAAUAAAAGUUUCUAUAUGGA
RNAcentral lists this long non-coding RNA (2657 nucleotides) under Marmota monax (woodchuck). Lineage: Eukaryota; Metazoa; Chordata; Mammalia; Rodentia; Sciuridae. The record is from RNAcentral.